AGUGAACGCUGGCGGUAGGCCUAACACAUGCAAGUCGAACGGCAGCACAGUAAGAGCUUGCUCUUACGGGUGGCGAGUGGCGGACGGGUGAGGAAUACAUCGGAAUCUACUUUUUCGUGGGGGAUAACGUAGGGAAACUUACGCUAAUACCGCAUACGACCUACGGGCGAAAGCAGGGGAUCUUCGGACCUUGCGCGAUUGAAUGAGACGAUGUCGGAUUAGCGAGUUGGCGGGGUAAAGGCCCACCAAGGCGACGAUCCGUAGCUGGUCUGAGAGGAUGAUCAGCCACACUGGAACUGAGACACGGUCCAGACUCCUACGGGAGGCAGCAGUGGGGAAUAUUGGACAAUGGGCGCAAGCCUGAUCCAGCCAUACCGCGUGGGUGAAGAAGGCCUUCGGGUUGUAAAGCCCUUUUGUUGGGAAAGAAAAGCAGCAGGUUAAUACCCCGCUGUUCUGACGGUACCCAAAGAAUAAGCACCGGCUAACUUCGUG
This 492-nucleotide ribosomal RNA is filed under the name uncultured bacterium. RNAcentral describes it as "partial 16S ribosomal RNA". It matches the Rfam family "Bacterial small subunit ribosomal RNA", at positions 29 to 507 of the family's 1533-position model. The record is from RNAcentral.